UGGGGGAAUAUUGCACAAUGGGGGGAAACCCUGAUGCAGCGACGCCGCGUGAGCGAAGAAGUAUUUCGGUAUGUAAAGCUCUAUCAGCAAGGAAGAUAAUGACGGUACUUGACUAAGAAGCUCCGGCUAAAUACGUGCCAGCAGCCGCGGUAAUACGUAUGGAGCAAGCGUUAUCCGGAUUUACUGGGUGUAAAGGGAGCGUAGACGGUGUGGCAAGUCUGAUGUGAAAGCCCGGGGCUCAACCCCGGAACUGCAUUGGAAACUGUCGUACUAGAGUGCAGGAGAGGUAAGCGGAAUUCCUAGUGUAGCGGUGAAAUGCGUAGAUAUUAGGAGGAACACCAGUGGCGAAGGCGGCUUACUGGACUGUAACUGACGUUGAGGCUCGAAAGCGUGGGGAGCAAACAGGAUUAGAUACCCUGGUAGU
Molecule: ribosomal RNA, 424 nt
Filed under: uncultured Clostridium sp.
Lineage: Bacteria; Bacillati; Bacillota; Clostridia; Eubacteriales; Clostridiaceae
Description: bacterial SSU rRNA
Rfam family: Bacterial small subunit ribosomal RNA
Source: RNAcentral